CAUGCAAGUCGAACGGAAAGGCCCUUCGGGGUACUCGAGUGGCGAACGGGUGAGUAACACGUGGGUGAUCUGCCCUGCACUCUGGGAUAAGCCUGGGAAACUGGGUCUAAUACCGGAUAUGAUCAUGCGCCUCAUGGUGUGUGGUGGAAAGCUUUUGCGGUGUGGGAUGGGCCCGCGGCCUAUCAGCUUGUUGGUGGGGUAAUGGCCUACCAAGGCGACGACGGGUAGCCGGCCUGAGAGGGUGACCGGCCACACUGGGACUGAGAUACGGCCCAGACUCCUACGGGAGGCAGCAGUGGGGAAUAUUGCACAAUGGGCGCAAGCCUGAUGCAGCGACGCCGCGUGGGGGAUGACGGCCUUCGGGUUGUAAACCUCUUUCAGUACCGACGAAGCGUAAGUGACGGUAGGUACAGAAGAAGCACCGGCCAACUACGUGCCAGCAGCCGCGGUAAUACGUAGGGUGCGAGCGUUGUCCGGAAUUACUGGGCGUAAAGAGCUCGUAGGUGGUUUGUCGCGUUGUCCGUGAAAACUCACAGCUUAACUGUGGGCGUGCGGGCGAUACGGGCAGACUAGAGUACUGCAGGGGAGACUGGAAUUCCUGGUGUAGCGGUGGAAUGCGCAGAUAUCAGGAGGAACACCGGUGGCGAAGGCGGGUCUCUGGGCAGUAACUGACGCUGAGGAGCGAAAGCGUGGGGAGCGAACAGGAUUAGAUACCCUGGUAGUCCACGCCGUAAACGGUGGGUACUAGGUGUGGGUUCCUUCCUUGGGAUCCGUGCCGUAGCUAACGCAUUAAGUACCCCGCCUGGGGAGUACGGCCGCAAGGCUAAAACUCAAAGGAAUUGACGGGGGCCCGCACAAGCGGCGGAGCAUGUGGAUUAAUUCGAUGCAACGCGAAGAACCUUACCUGGGUUUGACAUGCACAG
Molecule: ribosomal RNA, 923 nt
Filed under: Mycobacterium sp. VC-YC6670
Lineage: Bacteria; Bacillati; Actinomycetota; Actinomycetes; Mycobacteriales; Mycobacteriaceae
Description: bacterial SSU rRNA
Rfam family: Bacterial small subunit ribosomal RNA
Source: RNAcentral